RNAcentral lists this long non-coding RNA (260 nucleotides) under Helianthus annuus (common sunflower). Its description in RNAcentral is "hypothetical non coding rna". The record is from RNAcentral. Lineage: Eukaryota; Viridiplantae; Streptophyta; Magnoliopsida; Asterales; Asteraceae.
GGGGGAGUUUGUUGGUGCACUUGUGUCUGUACUUUGUCUGUAUUCGGUCUCGAUGUAAACGAUGUCCUUGUCAGUCCUGGACCUACAGUUGACCAAGUCAACCGUCCUCCUGGUUUGACUUGGCCAACAGUUAGUAAAUUAGUUGUAAUUUGUCUGUCUCGAAGGAUGAGACAUCGAAGGUUGAUUUAGAUCCUUCGAUGUGCUCGAAAGAUGAACAUUCGAUGGAUGCUGUUGGACCUCGAAGGAUACACCAUCCUUCG